GACGAACGCUGGCGGCGUGCUUAACACAUGCAAGUCGAACGGAAAGGCCCUGCUUUUGUGGGGUGCUCGAGUGGCGAACGGGUGAGUAACACGUGAGUAACCUGCCCUUGACUUUGGGAUAACUUCAGGAAACUGGGGCUAAUACCGGAUAGGAGCUCCUGCUGCAUGGUGGGGGUUGGAAAGUUUCGGCGGUUGGGGAUGGACUCGCGGCUUAUCAGCUUGUUGGUGGGGUAGUGGCUUACCAAGGCUUUGACGGGUAGCCGGCCUGAGAGGGUGACCGGCCACAUUGGGACUGAGAGACGGCCCAGACUCCUACGGGAGGCAGCAGUGGGGAAUAUUGCACAAUGGGCGGAAGCCUGAUGCAGCAACGCCGCGUGCGGGAUGACGGCCUUCGGGUUGUGAACCGCUGUCGCCUGUGACGAAGCGUGAGUGACGGUAAUGGGUAAAGAAGCACCGGCUAACUACGUG
This 468-nucleotide ribosomal RNA is filed under the name uncultured bacterium. Its description in RNAcentral is "partial 16S ribosomal RNA". It matches the Rfam family "Bacterial small subunit ribosomal RNA", at positions 28 to 507 of the family's 1533-position model. The record is from RNAcentral.